UUUCCCUUGUUGUUAAAGAAGCAUGAGGGUUCCCCACUUCCCGCACCAUAUUUCCAAAAUUCUAUUCAUCAUUCACAAAUCACAAGUCCCAGAAAUUAUCAGAAAACAGACAAAUUAGAGGGAUUUUGUUGAAGAAAAAAACAGGAAGGAAACAUCCAAUUCCCAGAAACCCAAAUUAAAAAAUUUAAAAUUAUUGAAUAAAAAAAUGGGAUCAGAAACGAACUCGCCAACACCAUCCCCAAGUGGGAAGAGAAGCAGAGAUCCUGAAGAUGAAGUUUACAUUGACAAUCUUCAUUCUCAUAAGCGUUAUCUCAGUGAGAUGAUGGCAUCAAGCUUGAAUUGUUUGACAGUGGGAGACCCAAUUCCUGAUAAUUUGUUGGAUUCUCCGGCGAGGUCUGAUAGCAUGUUCUAUUCAAGAGAUGAGAUGUCCUUACAGUAUUCACCCAUGUCUGAAGACUUAGAUGAUGCACGAUAUUAUGAGACUCCCAUGAGUGCCUGCUCAUCUCAAUCUGAAAGUCGUCCUACUAGUCCUGUCUCUCCAUAUAGAUAUAAACCAGUCGGUGCGUUCUGUCCUAGUCCUCCUCCUAGCACCUCACAACCUGUAAAUGGAUGCAGUACCUUCUCAUCAGGUUCUUCUCAACCUCGACAGAGAGGUUCAGAUACCGAAGGAAGAUUCCCUUCUUCACCGAGUGAUAUAUGCCACUCAGGUGACUUAAGAAAAACGGCACUUUUACGAUCUGUACAGAUGAGAUCCCAGCCUUCGUGCUCAUCAACAUUUGAUCUAGGCCUAGGGUUUACUGCAGCUCAAGAGGUAAUGCAGAAUGUUGAAUCUGAAACUCGAUCCUGCUCAUUCUUGAAACCUUUGGAUGAUGAACGGGUGUACCAUGAUCAUGAUGAAGGAUGUCCUGUAAUGCCUUCUUCUGAGCCUAUAUUUGAUGAAGGAAAGGAUUCAAUGGGAUUGACUAUGAGCGAGGGAGAGAGAUCUGUGGAGUAGAUGUCAUGUGAAAUUGCUUUAUUGACGUCAAUGCUAGGUGUCUGAAGCAUUGCUUUAACCCGGAUCGAACGCGACCUGAAGUUACUUAGAGAAACCCGAACCCGACCUGAAUCGAACCCAAAUGACCUGAAAUCGACCCGAUUUGACCCAUUUAUCAUAUUUUGUAGUAAUAUUAAGUUUUACAAUAUUUCUAAUAUUUUUUCACACAACCCGAAGUCGACCCGAAACCAAACCCAAACCCAAACCUGACCCAUUGACCCGAACUGCCACCCCUAAUGUACGGGCCAUGUGUGAAAUUGUUAAGAUCGUUGGCGCAGAGUUAUUUACUAUGAGAUUGUUGGUGUAUAUAUCUAUCAGCUGACGACAUAUCUGAGACUCUCAAUGCUGGAACAAGUUGGUUACCGCACCCCUAGAUCCGAGUUAUAACAACAGCCUAGUAUCUAUUGCAUCAAGGUUUGAUCUGGAGACGUCCACAACUUUACAUCUACGCGGCUGAACACCUAGGUAAGAAGAAAUUCUUUGGGCUACCCUCGUACAGGGCCCAUCCAGAGGCCCAUUACAAGCCUUACACCCCCUCCCCCUCCCCCUCCCCCUCCCCCUCCCCAACUUAAAUCCCAAGCAAAUGUUUGGGGUAGGAAUCGAAUCCUAGACUAUGCUAGGGAAGAAGGGAAAGCUCACCAGUUGAGCCAACCCCAUAGGGAAAAUCUUAGACGUGUCGGUGUCUGGCUCUCAUGUAUAUAUAGACAACACGUGUUACAUAUACAAUUAUGGUAGUAAUACCACGAGGCACGGUCUUAUGCGCUACUGUGCUAUCCCUUGCAAGUCGUGCAUACAUGAAUCUAAGAAAUCCGGAGCAUAUUGGUGCACAAUCGUUCACAACCAGGAACGAUUGUGCUACCUCACUUGCACGAACGGUCGUGCAUGAAGUGUAGAUGCACGACCGUAUGCACAAUCGUGCUAUUGUUCAUCUGCGUUAUGGAUGCAACAAUUGGAUUCGAUCAUCUUCCAACAUUUCAAUUCAAGUCCAAUAUAAUUUCUUAUAUUUACUCUUUUAUUUACUUUACAUUUCAUUAAUACUACAUCCGUUUCAAAAUGGUCAAGAGCCAAGGAGAAAUUAACGACCCAAAUUUUUGUCAAUGACAUUGGGGUUUUUGUUAAUUCUUUCGCAUUUUGCAAUUGUGUUUUUCGGUUUAUGACUUUUCACUUAUAUUUUAAUUCUUUUUUUUUUAAUCUUAUAUAUCACUCACCUUUUUAUGCA
Spinacia oleracea (spinach) is the source of this 2252-nucleotide RNA transcript. RefSeq lists it as uncharacterized. NCBI's taxonomy places the organism in Eukaryota, Viridiplantae, Streptophyta, Magnoliopsida, Caryophyllales, Amaranthaceae. The record is from RefSeq and is a predicted model, not a curated record. The transcript is spliced from 4 exons.